GGACGUGAGGGCGAUCUGGCUGCAACAUCUGUCACCCCACUGAUCACCAGGGUCGAUUCGGCUGAUCUGGCUGGCUAGGCGGGGGCCCCCUUCCUCCCUCACCGCUCCAAGUGCGUCCCUCCCGAAGCUGCGCGCUCGGUCGAAGAGGACCGCCUUCCCCGAUAGAGGAGGAUCGCUCUUCGGUCAAGGGUAUACGAGUAGCUGCGUUCCCCUGCUAGAACGUCCCAACAAGCUCUCAAGAAAACAAACGACAUAAUUUCCAAAUGGCCUACCUAUCUGAUCAAAUACUUC
Panthera pardus (leopard) is the source of this 291-nucleotide unclassified non-coding RNA. Its record names the gene 7SK. It matches the Rfam family "7SK RNA". Rfam says of the family: 7SK was discovered as an abundant small nuclear RNA in the mid-70s but a possible function has only recently been suggested. The record is from Ensembl. NCBI's taxonomy places the organism in Eukaryota, Metazoa, Chordata, Mammalia, Carnivora, Felidae.